AGUGAACGCUGGCGGUAGGCCUAACACAUGCAAGUCGAACGGCAGCACAAUAAGAGCUUGCUCUUACGGGUGGCGAGUGGCGGACGGGUGAGGAAUACAUCGGAAUCUACUUUUUCGUGGGGGAUAACGUAGGGAAACUUACGCUAAUACCGCAUACGACCUACGGGUGAAAGCAGGGGAUCUUCGGACCUUGCGCGAUUGAAUGAGCCGAUGUCGGAUUAGCUAGUUGGCGGGGUAAAGGCCCACCAAGGCGACGAUCCGUAGCUGGUCUGAGAGGAUGAUCAGCCACACUGGAACUGAGACACGGUCCAGACUCCUACGGGAGGCAGCAGUGGGGAAUAUUGGACAAUGGGCGCAAGCCUGAUCCAGCCAUACCGCGUGGGUGAAGACGGCCUUCGGGUUGUAAAGCCCUUUUGUUGGGAAAGAAAAGCAGCAGGUUAAUACCCCGCUGUUCUGACGGUACCCAAAGAAUAAACACCGGCUAACUUCGUG
Molecule: ribosomal RNA, 492 nt
Filed under: uncultured bacterium
Lineage: Bacteria
Description: partial 16S ribosomal RNA
Rfam family: Bacterial small subunit ribosomal RNA
Source: RNAcentral